AGCGUUGUUCGGAAUUACUGGGCGUAAAGCGCACGUAGGCGGAUAUUUAAGUCAGGGGUGAAAUCCCGCAGCUCAACUGCGGAACUGCCUUUGAUACUGGGUGUCUAGAGUGUGGAAGAGGUAAGUGGAAUUCCGAGUGUAGAGGUGAAAUUCGUAGAUAUUCGGAGGAACACCAGUGGCGAAGGCGGCUUACUGGUCCAUUACUGACGCUGAGGUGCGAAAG
Molecule: ribosomal RNA, 223 nt
Filed under: uncultured bacterium
Lineage: Bacteria
Description: partial 16S ribosomal RNA
Rfam family: Bacterial small subunit ribosomal RNA
Source: RNAcentral